Molecule: ribosomal RNA, 108 nt
Filed under: Monodelphis domestica (gray short-tailed opossum)
Lineage: Eukaryota; Metazoa; Chordata; Mammalia; Didelphimorphia; Didelphidae
Source: RNAcentral
GUCUAUGGCCAUACCACCCUGAUGGUGCCCGAUCUCAGAAACUAAGCAGGGUUAGACCUUGUUAGUAUUGGAUGGGAGAUCUCUUGGGAACACUGGGUACUAACAGCU